CAGCCGCCGCGGUAAUACGGAGGGUGCAAGCGUUAUCCGGAUUUAUUGGGUUUAAAGGGUCCGUAGGCGGAUCUGUAAGUCAGUGGUGAAAUCUCACAGCUUAACUGUGAAACUGCCAUUGAUACUGCAGGUCUUGAGUAAAUUUGAAGUGGCUGGAAUAAGUAGUGUAGCGGUGAAAUGCAUAGAUAUUACUUAGAACACCAAUUGCGAAGGCAGGUCACUAAGAUUUAACUGACGCUGAUGGACGAAAGCGUGGGGAGCGAACAGGAUUAGAUACCCCCGUAGUUCCUGUCUCUUAUAC
This 301-nucleotide ribosomal RNA is filed under the name uncultured bacterium. RNAcentral describes it as "partial 16S ribosomal RNA". It matches the Rfam family "Bacterial small subunit ribosomal RNA", at positions 509 to 807 of the family's 1533-position model. The record is from RNAcentral.